Long non-coding RNA from Argentina anserina (silverweed cinquefoil), 171 nucleotides. RefSeq lists it as uncharacterized. The transcript is spliced from 3 exons. NCBI's taxonomy places the organism in Eukaryota, Viridiplantae, Streptophyta, Magnoliopsida, Rosales, Rosaceae. The record is from RefSeq and is a predicted model, not a curated record.
GUCUGACAAUUUGGAGUGCUUUCUUCUUUAAUCGUUGAAUUUUAUUGGUGGAAGACAAGUAGACAACUGUUUAGACAACUUAUCAUAUUGAAUUGGGCAUAGACCAGUGAUUAAAGGGAAGAUACAUCAGCUCUGAAGAGAAGUGAAUUGUUCCAGUCCUUGACAAUAUAA